AAAUUGAAGAGUUUGAUCAUGGCUCAGAUUGAACGCUGGCGGCAGGCCUAACACAUGCAAGUCGAGCGGAAACGAGUUAUCAGAACCUUCGGGGAACGAUAACGGCGUCGAGCGGCGGACGGGUGAGUAAUGCCUAGGAAAUUGCCCUGAUGUGGGGGAUAACCAUUGGAAACGAUGGCUAAUACCGCAUGAUGCCUACGGGCCAAAGAGGGGGACCUUCGGGCCUCUCGCGUCAGGAUAUGCCUAGGUGGGAUUAGCUAGUUGGUGAGGUAAGGGCUCACCAAGGCGACGAUCCCUAGCUGGUCUGAGAGGAUGAUCAGCCACACUGGAACUGAGACACGGUCCAGACUCCUACGGGAGGCAGCAGUGGGGAAUAUUGCACAAUGGGCGCAAGCCUGAUGCAGCCAUGCCGCGUGUGUGAAGAAGGCCUUCGGGUUGUAAAGCACUUUCAGUCGUGAGGAAGGUAGUGUAGUUAAUAGCUGCAUUAUUUGACGUUAGCGACAGAAGAAGCACCGGCUAACUCCGUGCCAGCAGCCGCGGUAAUACGGAGGGUGCGAGCGUUAAUCGGAAUUACUGGGCGUAAAGCGCAUGCAGGUGGUUUGUUAAGUCAGAUGUGAAAGCCCGGGGCUCAACCUCGGAAUUGCAUUUGAAACUGGCAGACUAGAGUACUGUAGAGGGGGGUAGAAUUUCAGGUGUAGCGGUGAAAUGCGUAGAGAUCUGAAGGAAUACCGGUGGCGAAGGCGGCCCCCUGGACAGAUACUGACACUCAGAUGCGAAAGCGUGGGGAGCAAACAGGAUUAGAUACCCUGGUAGUCCACGCCGUAAACGAUGUCUACUUGGAGGUUGUGGCCUUGAGCCGUGGCUUUCGGAGCUAACGCGUUAAGUAGACCGCCUGGGGAGUACGGUCGCAAGAUUAAAACUCAAAUGAAUUGACGGGGGCCCGCACAAGCGGUGGAGC
RNAcentral lists this ribosomal RNA (958 nucleotides) under Vibrio parahaemolyticus. RNAcentral's name for it is "bacterial SSU rRNA". It matches the Rfam family "Bacterial small subunit ribosomal RNA", at positions 1 to 938 of the family's 1533-position model. Lineage: Bacteria; Pseudomonadati; Pseudomonadota; Gammaproteobacteria; Vibrionales; Vibrionaceae. The record is from RNAcentral.